RNAcentral lists this ribosomal RNA (253 nucleotides) under uncultured bacterium. RNAcentral's name for it is "partial 16S ribosomal RNA". It matches the Rfam family "Bacterial small subunit ribosomal RNA", at positions 524 to 776 of the family's 1533-position model. The record is from RNAcentral.
UACAGAGGUCUCAACCGUUGUUCGGAUUCAUUGGGCGUAAAGGGUGCGUAGGCGGUCGCGCAAGUCGGAUGUGAAAUCUUAGGGCUCAACCCUGAAACUGCAUUCGAUACUGCGUGGCUCGAGUACUGGAGAGGAGACUGGAAUUUACGGUGUAGCAGUGAAAUGCGUAGAUAUCGUAAGGAAGACCAGUGGCGAAGGCGAGUCUCUGGGCAGUUACUGACGCUGAGGAGCGAAAGCAUGGGGAGCGAACAGG